GAUGAACGCUGGCGGCGUGCCUAAUACAUGCAAGUCGAGCGAACGGACGAGAAGCUUGCUUCUCUGAUGUUAGCGGCGGACGGGUGAGUAACACGUGGAUAACCUACCUAUAAGACUGGGAUAACUUCGGGAAACCGGAGCUAAUACCGGAUAAUAUUUUGAACCGCAUGGUUCAAAAGUGAGAGACGGUCUUGCUGUCACUUAUAGAUGGAUCCGCGCUGCAUUAGCUAGUUGGUAAGGUAACGGCUUACCAAGGCAACGAUGCAUAGCCGACCUGAGAGGGUGAUCGGCCACACUGGAACUGAGACACGGUCCAGACUCCUACGGGAGGCAGCAGUAGGGAAUCUUCCGCAAUGGGCGAAAGCCUGACGGAGCAACGCCGCGUGAGUGAUGAAGGUCUUCGGAUCGUAAAACUCUGUUAUUAGGGAAGAACAUAUGGUAAGUAACUGUGCACAUCUUGACGGUACCUAAUCAGAAAGCCACGGCUAACUACGUG
RNAcentral lists this ribosomal RNA (496 nucleotides) under uncultured bacterium. RNAcentral's name for it is "partial 16S ribosomal RNA". It matches the Rfam family "Bacterial small subunit ribosomal RNA", at positions 28 to 507 of the family's 1533-position model. The record is from RNAcentral.